Molecule: ribosomal RNA, 522 nt
Filed under: Kupeselasia minuta
Lineage: Eukaryota; Metazoa; Arthropoda; Insecta; Coleoptera; Elateridae
Description: partial large subunit ribosomal RNA
Rfam family: Bacterial large subunit ribosomal RNA
Source: RNAcentral
CAUGUCCUUAUGAUUAUAAUUUUAGGUCUAAUCUGCUCAAUGAGUUUUAAAUAGCCGUGGUAUUUUGACCGUGCAAAGGUAGCAUAAUAAUUAGUUUUUUUAUUGAAAGCUAGAAUGAAUGAUUGGACAAAAGAUUUUCUGUCUCAUUAAAAUAUUUCUUGAAUUUAACUUUUAGGUUAAAAGGCUUAAAUUUUAUUUAAAGACGAGAAGACCCUAUAGAGUUUUACAUUUUUACCUUAUGAUAGGGUUGGUAUUAGUUUACUUUUAGGUUAGAUUUGUUUAGUUGGGGUGACUAGAAGAUUAGAUAAACUCUUCUUUGUUUAUUUAUACUGGUACGUGAAUUUUAUUUCUUUAUUUUACAAGUUUAAAUUAAAUUACCUUAGGGAUAACAGCGUUAUUUCUCUUUAGAGUUCUUAUUGUUAGAGAAGUUUGCGACCUCGAUGUUGGAUUAAAGUUUAUGCGGGGUGAAGUAGCUCAAGCAUUUAAGUCUGUUCGACUUUUAGAAUUUUACAUGAUCUGAGU